RNAcentral lists this ribosomal RNA (495 nucleotides) under uncultured bacterium. RNAcentral describes it as "partial 16S ribosomal RNA". It matches the Rfam family "Bacterial small subunit ribosomal RNA", at positions 28 to 507 of the family's 1533-position model. The record is from RNAcentral.
GACGAACGCUGGCGGCGUGCCUAAUACAUGCAAGUAGAACGCUGAAGGAGGAGCUUGCUUCUCUGGAUGAGUUGUGAAAGGGUGAGUAACGCGUAGGUAACCUGCCUGGUAGCGGGGGAUAACUAUUGGAAACGAUAGCUAAUACCGCAUAAGAGUAGAUGUUGCAUGACAUUUGCUUAAAAGGUGCAAUUGCAUCACUACCAGAUGGACCUGCGUUGUAUUAGCUAGUUGGUGGGGUAACGGCUCACCAAGGCGACGAUACAUAGCCGACCUGAGAGGGUGAUCGGCCACACUGGGACUGAGACACGGCCCAGACUCCUACGGGAGGCAGCAGUAGGGAAUCUUCGGCAAUGGACGGAAGUCUGACCGAGCAACGCCGCGUGAGUGAAGAAGGGUUUCGGAUCGUAAAGCUCUGUUGUAAGAGAAGAACGAGUGUGAGAGUGGAAAGUUCACACUGUGACGGUAUCUUACCAGAAAGGGACGGCUAACUACGUG